UAGAACGCUGAAGCUUGGUGCUUGCACCGAGCGGAUGAGUUGCGAACGGGUGAGUAACGCGUAGGUAACCUGCCUCUUAGCGGGGGAUAACUAUUGGAAACGAUAGCUAAUACCGCAUAAAAGUCGACGUCGCAUGAUGUUGACUUGAAAGGUGCAAUUGCAUCACUAAGAGAUGGACCUGCGUUGUAUUAGCUAGUUGGUGAGGUAACGGCUCACCAAGGCGACGAUACAUAGCCGACCUGAGAGGGUGAUCGGCCACACUGGGACUGAGACACGGCCCAGACUCCUACGGGAGGCAGCAGUAGGGAAUCUUCGGCAAUGGGGGCAACCCUGACCGAGCAACGCCGCGUGAGUGAAGAAGGUUUUCGGAUCGUAAAGCUCUGUUGUAAGAGAAGAACGAGUGUGAGAGUGGAAAGUUCACACUGUGACGGUAACUUACCAGAAAGGGACGGCUAACUACGUGCCAGCAGCCGCGGUAAUACGUAGGUCCCGAGCGUUAUCCGGAUUUAUUGGGCGUAAAGCGAGCGCAGGCGGUUAGAUAAGUCUGAAGUUAAAGGCUGUGGCUUAACCAUAGUACGCUUUGGAAACUGUUUAACUUGAGUGCAGAAGGGGAGAGUGGAAUU
RNAcentral lists this ribosomal RNA (623 nucleotides) under uncultured Bacilli bacterium. Its description in RNAcentral is "bacterial SSU rRNA". It matches the Rfam family "Bacterial small subunit ribosomal RNA", at positions 62 to 668 of the family's 1533-position model. Lineage: Bacteria; Bacillati; Bacillota; Bacilli. The record is from RNAcentral.